AAAGAAAAUAACAAUGAUUCCCCUAGUAACGGCGAGCGAAGAGGGAAUAGCUCAAAUUUUAAAUCUGUUGGGUCUUACCUAACCGAGUUGUAAUUUGAAGAAGCGUUUUCUGCAUGUUUGAUUUAGCCCAAAUCCUUUGGGAUAAGGUAUCAUGGAGGGUGAGAACCCCGUCCGGCCUAAUCAAAUGUGCUUUUACGAUACGUUUUCUAAGAGUCGAGUUGUUUGGGAUUGCAGCUCAAAAUGGGAGGUAAAUUUCUCCUAAGGCUAAAUAUUGGCGAGAGACCGAUAGCGAACAAGUACCGUGAGGGAAAGAUGAAAAGAACUUUGAAAAGAGAGUUAAACAGUACGUGAAAUUGUUGAAAGGUAAACGAUUAAAGUCAGUCGUACUAACGGGGAAUCAACCUUUUGAGGGUGGAAUUGUGGGAUUCAAAGUGCCUUUGUUUUUCACAACCUGCUUUUUUUGGGUGUACUUUCUCGUAUUGUAGGUCAGCAUCGGUUUUGACCGUUAUAAAAUGACUGGAGGAAUGUAGCUUCGAUCUCGUAUUGAAGUGUUAUAGCCUUUGGUAGAUGUAACGGUUGGGAUCGAGGAUUGCAAUGAAUACCCUCAUGGGCUAUCUGCCUGGCCUCUGACAUGUCACUCUGGUGCCGAAAGCUUGCUUAUGGUAUUAUAGUGUACGGUCAAAAGGUUAGAACGGAUUAAAUU
This 703-nucleotide ribosomal RNA is filed under the name uncultured Glomeromycotina. RNAcentral's name for it is "eukaryotic LSU rRNA". It matches the Rfam family "Eukaryotic large subunit ribosomal RNA", at positions 58 to 640 of the family's 3401-position model. The record is from RNAcentral. Lineage: Eukaryota; Fungi; Glomeromycota.